AGAGCAAGGGCGUCGAGUCCUUUGCAUGGCGCAUCCGUCUGACACACUCCUCUUCCUCCUUCUUCCACUUUGAAGGACUUAGGUCAUUCGGUUGGGCCCACCUGGAUAAUCCUGGAUAGCUCUCAUCUCUAGGUCCUUAACCUCGAUCCCAUCAACCAAGUCCCUUUGCCAUGUAACAAAACACAUUAAUUCAUAGGUUUGGGGGAUUAUGACAUGGACAUUUUGAGGGGCCACUCUUCUGCCUGCCACAGUGACUUUGUCUAUGGUUUCUUCCAAAGAAAGCUGCGUUCCAAAUGGUAUGAGGAACAGAAUUCAAAUCCCAGCUCAAUCACCUUUAAUAGCUGUGAAGUCUUGGACAAGACACACAACCUCUCUGGGCCUCAGUGUCCUCAUCCAUAAAAUGGCGACAUGAUCACGCCUCCAAACACUGAAUGAGGUUUAGCAAUAAAAUAGUUCAAAUCUCUCACUCAGUGUCUGGCUCAUGUGCCGAUUAUGUUUUCCUUUCUCCCUGUGAGAAACAUCUGGAAGAUGUUAAGAGUGGGGGUCUUUAACCUUGGGAUUCCACUAUAGGGUUUCAGCGGACCGUGAGUUCCCAGAAAUUCUAUGUAAAAUGGGGUGACACUGUCCCGGUACAUCUUCCUUCGGAGAGCCUUCAUAGCUUUCGUCACGUUCUCAGAAAGAUCUGUGCCAACGGGGGCUGAUGAAUGUAUAACAACUGGCUUUUGCCCGUUUCCAUGGUGUAAGCCAUCCUGCCACAGACAAUUCCAAACUAUCAAAGUGAUGUCACAGAACCCGGAGCUGGGGCAAGAUGUGCACAGCCGGCUCUGGGGAACCGGCACAAGCCAGCUCCCGGCCCCCACUGUCUGUGACCCCAGAAGGCCACAGAGCACGGCUUUUGGGGAAAGGCCUGGACUUCCAGCCCAUCCGAUCUGUUUAAUUUGAGAGCCUGUUAUGUACAAGGACUUCUGCUUUGUUGUCUCCCUCGCAGGCCUGAUCUUUAUCAGGAUGCUGGAGUUAUUUCCGCCGUGUAAGGCAGACACGCAGAGGAGGGGCAGAUAGUGGGAGCCUUGGGAGAGGGCAUUUGGGAUCAGAGGACCGAGCCCUCAGUGAGUCUGGGCCCUGGCUGAGAGACCCAGGACCCUCUGGAGGAGGAAGAGGGAAUUUGGAUUCAGUGUCAACGGAGGGAGCCACAGAAGAGCACUCCAGGGCCCGAUGAGCCAUUCCUGGAGUGGCGUAGGAAGAAAGGCUAGAACUGAGAAAGCACAGGUCCUGCAGACGUCCAGGAGAGACAGGAGAGCCUUAUUUUUCCUAAAAGGAAAAUAACCUGAAUAUUCAAGUCAACAACGUACCAGGAGUUUGAUGUACAUGGACCCGAAUCUUCACACUAUGAAGAAGAUGUAACUAUACCCAUUUUAUAGGCAAGGAAGUUGAGAUGGAGGAAUCAGCUCAAAUGCAGGAGGCGGACAAGUGGGAGAGAUGGACUUAAACCCCAGUUGACUUGACCUCACAGGGGGUGCCCUUCUGCUAUGCUGAGCUGCUUCUCCCCAAAUUAAAGGACGGUGCAGCAUCCUACAUGGAGCCUGGGGAGGUGAGGAGUCCCCAGAACCCCGCCCCACCCCAUCCAAAGGUGAGUCAAGUUGCAUCUCUCUGAAAUGUCUUCAGCACCGUCAAGAUAUGGGAAGACAUGUCAGGACUCUGGGGCCCGAAGAUUGUGGAAUAAAGAACACAGCACACAGGUCAAGAAUGAAGACCCCACACCCCCCACAGCCCCACGGUGAAUUUGCAUGGAAACUGUACAGGGGCCCCAUCCCCAGGAAUCUUGCCAUGAGGGGCCUCCAUGUGCCCUCUGGAGUGGCCACGGCUCCCCUUUCGGUUCACUUGA
This is a long non-coding RNA of Equus caballus (horse), 1882 nucleotides long. RefSeq lists it as uncharacterized. The record is from RefSeq and is a predicted model, not a curated record. NCBI's taxonomy places the organism in Eukaryota, Metazoa, Chordata, Mammalia, Perissodactyla, Equidae.